Molecule: long non-coding RNA, 2163 nt
Organism: Haliaeetus leucocephalus (bald eagle)
Lineage: Eukaryota; Metazoa; Chordata; Aves; Accipitriformes; Accipitridae
Exons: 3
Source: RefSeq, a predicted model, not a curated record
GCCGGGGCUGCGCGGGGCCGGCCUGUCUUCCGCCGGGUCGCGGCGGGGUGGAGGAGGACCUGUAUGUGCGGGGUACAUGGAGAAGAUGUCGUCGCUCCACAGCCCGGAUGGGUAAUGAGAGAAACCAGGAGCUUUUUCAGCAAUAAUCAAACAGGGAGCAUGCCUAGUCAGGUCUGUCACAGACUCUUGGAAGCUGAAAAUUUACUGUUGGCAGCAGACAAGAAGCAGCUGCAGUAGCUGUGUUUCUCACAUAGUACCAAGCUGAUGCGCCUCUCUUCUACCCGGGAAAGGCUGCUCUGAAGAAGAAGGAUAUUUUGGAGUUUCUAUCAAUCAGGUUGUAGCGAUGCAAGUGGAGAUGCAGUUAAUAAUCCAUCGAGAACUGCCGCUUGUUUCCUACGAGCCCCCAAAGAGCUGGGAAGCGUGGCUUUGUCCUGGUGACCUGGGCUGCAUACAAGUCACCUUCUCCACGUGAAAAUCACUGCUCGUCCCUUGGGCCAUCUCACUGCUGAUGCUUCCAAGCUCCAGCUCAUUGUCUUCUCCCUUCUGUUGUCUUAGGGGAUAGAAGGAAGUGUGGUGAGACAUAGAUUAUUCUUUAAGUGCCCAGAAAGUUUAAUUAAUCAGUCCAGUACCUGUAAUUGAUGAGAAUCCUAUUAUUUAAGCGGAUGGGGAUCGGAGGAUUUCAGGUCAUAGAGAACUUAAUACAAAGUAGGAGUGCUUGAUGGUCACUAUAUUUCUUUCCCUUACUGGAAGGAGGAAGAAAUUUUGCUCAAAUGCAUAUAAUUGAGCAAAUUCUUAGAAAGAAUAUGCGGCAGUAUGCUGUUAUAAGUAAUGUGUGGCUUUUGUAUAUCACCGUCUGUCAUUAAUUUUUAAAUUGCUUUAUAAAAUUGGGAAACGGAGGCACAAGAGAGGUGAUACAACUUGUGCAGGGUUGCUCACUAGGUCACCAUCAGAUGAAGAAUAGUGCAGGUCUUGUUUCAUCUCUGCUGGCUGUAACAGGAAAGCUAACGGUGAGCUGCUGUUAACACAUGUAGAGCUAAGGUAUCAGCCUAAUAUGACCAAGCUACAAAAAUUCAGUGAUUUACUGCUUGAAGCUGUUACAAUUAGGUGAGUUCUUAGCUUGCCUCAACUGCAAAAUAAAAUGGAUUAUUACAGACUACUUCUACCUUGUGGUUUUUUACACUGUUGAGCCUUGCCUCCUUAGGAAACAAUGAAACAUUGGUGCUGUCAACAAGUUUCUCUGUUCUUUUACUUUCUGAACAGUCAAAAAGUGCUCUGUAAUUUUGGGCCUCCUUAGCUGAUGACUCAGUCAGAGACCAAGGAUGUUGGUAAUGAGAACUAAGAAAGUGAUUAACAUCUGGCAGGCAACUAAGGCUAGAAAAAACGCUGGCAUUUUCACAACGAAUCCAUUUAUUUUAAAUGAAUUUACUGAGAAAAGCUCACCUGCAGGACAUUUAGCCACAUUUCUGUAUUAAGUAAGCCUAAACCAUGUUGUCUUUAUCUUCAUUUUUUUAGUAUAUAACUGGAACACUCUUGACAUUUUGUUCAUCAGACAUAAAAAAAUGCUGUCAAGUCUCAGCCUCCUUUGGGUGAGCUCUCUGGCUUAGGCUAGAAGGCUGCGUGCAGUCAUUCUGAGUCCAGAUAACCUUAAUUUAGUCUUAUGGAAAGAUCCAUUCUGCUCCUGCGACCGCUUAGGGCUCUACAGCAGGGGAGUGAUUUUUGUGUGAUGGGGGACUUGACUCAAGAAGACCCCGCCGACCAGAGCCUGCUGGGCUCUGGGAUAGCUCUGGUGCAUCUGACCUUGUUUCAGGUUGCUUAUGCUUUUCAUGACCCAUUAUUUAUGUGUUUGGGUUUAUUUGGGGUUUUUUUCUUUGUCCGUGGUAUCUCAGCCCUCCCAUUUUUAUGGGUAAUGGAGAAUUGAUCGUAGGUUAGUCUGAAGUAAACGGCAAUGUUGCUGCUGUAACUACAAGCAGAAUGUGGCCUUCGGACUUUCUGGACCUCUUUCGCAUAUUUCCAAGUCUGGGUCUUUGUCCUUAAUAAAAAUAAUUAUUCUUGGAAAUCAUCUUACGACAUCUGUGGAGAUGCAGUAAUCAGAGUUUCAGACACUUCAUACAUAACUGGCUCAUUUUUUACAUCUCUUUUCUGUUCUGUGUGCCGAAGGAAGUG